This 1018-nucleotide long non-coding RNA is filed under the name Chinchilla lanigera (long-tailed chinchilla). RNAcentral's name for it is "lncRNA (ENSCLAG00000024661.1)". The record is from RNAcentral. Lineage: Eukaryota; Metazoa; Chordata; Mammalia; Rodentia; Chinchillidae.
CGCCGCGCUCCCGUCUCCCGCCUGCUCGGCGAGGUGCGGGCCGUUUAUUCGAUCGUCCUCACAAAUAGCCACAAAACGGCCACCUUUACAUCGUGGGUACAUGGGGGUCGGGCAGGAGUGUGAGGGGUUUCUCGGUGUCCACGGCGGGCCGGAGGCGGAGGGCGCACAAGUUGGCGCCGAUCCGAGCAACGCGGAGACGUCGCAUCACUUCACCUUUCGAUGGAUCUGUUUGAAAGAGUUGGCAAGGAUCAGGAAUACAGUUGUUUCUGCUGAAGUGGGAAGACACAGACCCAACCAUCUCUGCCUCUUGCCUAACGCUCCAGUCAGGCCAAACUCACAGAGAGGAUGGAAUAAGAACAAAAUAAAAGCCAAUAGGAAACAGGAAGAUCAAUCUUUAGCCAAGGGAAGGGAACCAAGAGAUAGCAGAGGAAGGAAAGGGGAUGAAAAAGAACCAAGAUGUGUUGUGUGUGUGGACUAGCUCCCCGUGAGGAAUGGGAUCACGUACUGCAAACAUGUACCAGCAAAAAUUUUAAAAAUAAAAAAGAAACUGGGAGAAUUCUUUUUGGCUAUCCAAGAACUGCUGUUAAGUAUUGAAGAAUACCUUGUACAUAUAAAGGGCUAGAUGUUCUAAGUAAUUUUAAAAAGUUUUAAAGUCUAGGCAGACACUGAAUCCUUCACAUUCUCAGUCAGCUAGAAGGGAACACUGCAAGCUUCGUAACGAUUGCCAUUUCACCUUCAGGACAGCUGCCCAGGAUGUGAAGUAGCGCACAGGUUUGGAAAUCUGAAUGUCUUCGGUUACCAAGUUACCAGAAUCUCUGAACUGCAAUUUCCUCAUCUGAAAAGUUUGGAGAGAAUAAUUAUUUUAAAGGAUUUUUGUGAGAAUUAAGUUAACCCAGAUGUAAAAGCCCAGGGCAUUGCUUAUCAUGGAGUAGAUAAUAAAUGAUGGUUAUCUCCCUUAGGUCUCCCUCUGUCUCAGUGGUAGCACAUCAAAUAAAUAUUUCCUUAAAAAUGGAGAUUU